Molecule: non-coding RNA, 25 nt
Filed under: Rattus norvegicus (Norway rat)
Lineage: Eukaryota; Metazoa; Chordata; Mammalia; Rodentia; Muridae
Source: RNAcentral
GUAUUUCUUAUAUACAUUUCGAGUG